AUGGGUCGCGGCAAGGUGGUGCUGCAGCGGAUCGAGAACAAGAUCAGCCGCCAGGUGACGUUCGCCAAGCGCCGCAACGGCCUGCUCAAGAAGGCCUACGAGCUCUCCCUCCUCUGCGACGCCGAGGUCGCGCUCGUCCUCUUCUCCCACGCCGGCCGCCUCUACCAGUUCUCCUCCUCAUCCAACAUGCUUAAGACCCUCGAGAGGUACCAGAGGUACAUUUUUGCUUCCCAAGAUGCUGCCGUGCCAACUAGAGAUGAGAUGCAGAACAACUAUCUGGAGUAUAUGGAGCUGAAGGCAAGAGUUGAGGUUUUACAACACUCACAAAGGAAUCUCCUGGGCGAGGAUUUGGCUCCACUGAGUACAACGGAGCUUGAUCAGCUUGAGAGUCAAGUAGGCAAGACCUUGAGACAAAUAAGGUCAAGAAAGACUCAAGUACUGCUGGAUGAAAUGUGCGACCUGAAGAGAAAGGAACAAAUAUUAGAGGAUGCAAACAUGACCCUGAAAAGAAAGCUUGGCGAGAUCGAGCUGGAGGCGACACCUGAUCCCCCGCAGCAGCAGCAGCAGAUGUGGCAGGGCGACCGGGGCGUGCCGCCUCACACGCCUCCGCAGCCAGAGCACUUCUUCCAGGCCCUAGAAUGCUAUCCUUCUCUACAGCCAGUAUUUCGUGGCAUGGAUGUGAACCAGCCGCCGCCUGCAUGGAUGGUAUAG
This 711-nucleotide ribosomal RNA is filed under the name Triticum aestivum (bread wheat). RNAcentral's name for it is "partial small subunit ribosomal RNA". The record is from RNAcentral. Lineage: Eukaryota; Viridiplantae; Streptophyta; Magnoliopsida; Poales; Poaceae.